Molecule: ribosomal RNA, 500 nt
Filed under: uncultured bacterium
Lineage: Bacteria
Description: partial 16S ribosomal RNA
Rfam family: Bacterial small subunit ribosomal RNA
Source: RNAcentral
GACGAACGCUGGCGGCGUGCUUAACACAUGCAAGUCGAACGGGUCUGCCCUGUUUUUUGCGGGGUGGGUUAGUGGCGAACGGGUGAGUAACACGUGAGUAACCUGCCCCUCACUUCUGGAUAACCGCUUGAAAGGGUGGCUAAUACGGGGUGUUCUGGCUGUGCCGCAUGGUGUGGUUGGGAAAGAUUCACUUUUGUGGUGUUUUGGUGGGGUAUGGGCUCGCGGCGUAUCUGCUUGUUGGUGGGGUGAUGGCCUGCCAAGGCUUUGACGGGUAGCCGGCCUGGGAGGGUGGGCGGUCACACUGGGACUGAGAGACGGCCCAGACUACUGCGGGAGGCAGCAGUGGGGGGUAUUGAACAAUGGGCGGAAGCAUGAUGCAGCGACGUCGCGUGAGGGAUGGAGGCCUUCGGGUUGUGAACCUCUUUCGGCGGUGAAGAAGGUCCUGCUCUUUGAGGUGGGGUUGACGGUAGCCGGGUUAUGAAGCGCCGGCUAACUACGUG